UCGCGCCUUGUGUUUCACAUUGUCAUUGUAAUAAGAGGCCGGCAGCGGGACGUGAAUUUUACAUGGAGAAACGGGAAGCAGUUACGUCCUGGAAGAUUUACAUCUCUCGUCAUCCCACGUUACACGUCACUGCAGCUGUAUAACAAUAACUAUUCCUGCCAAGAGUACAGUUCGGGACGUAAUGGAUUUUACAAGAAUGAAAACACUAGUGGACAAAGAAAUAAUUAUUGACAAUUUCUUAAAAUUAAAUGACAAAUAACCUAGAAUUACCUGACGCUCGACGAAGAAAAUUUCCCACGCGCGUAAAUCCAAGACAGUGAGAUAUCUAUUUUUUAAAAAAAAGACAGCAUCGUCUGCAACAAGCCACGCAUUCUUGGAAGAGGAAAGAGUGCAGAUCGAUGGUAUGCGAAUGACAACUGCGAAGACACGCGGUAUGCCGUGCGAAACUGACAGAUUCCCACAUAGAUUCCAUGGUACCCAAAGACCCUAGCGGAGGAACUCGAAAGCGCCCACCGACAUCCAUCUUGAUAUCUUUACGACACUUAUCCGUUAUUUUAAAAAAGCCCGUAGGCUUCUCGGUCAUGGGGAUCGCGACUCAUCCUCGGUAAAUGCAAGUUCCUUUUGAUACGUAGAUACAGCCUGGAGGUUCGAAAGAUCGCGCGAGAUCAACAUCGAGUUCUCGUUAUUAACUAAAAUAACACCGAAGUAGGUCUUCUCGCUGCGUUAAAGUAUGACACUGUAUGACGCAACAGAUCUGCGUUAGGUUUAUUUAUCGUUUACUAUGGGAUCUAACAGGAAUGGUCAUACCUUACAAGGUUGACUAGCUAUAGAUGGUUUCAUUUUACGAGCAUACCAACGAGAAAUGCACGGCUGCGCUAUCGAUGGGAACAGUGUGUAGUCCAUUGUAAACUGCGUACCGGACCCAGGGACUUUUAGGUUAGCCUGACAGAAAACGGUUACGAGGACGCGGUGGCUUGUCUGCUAAUAAAGAAACUAGGACUCAAAAGGAAGGUCACCAAAGUCAAACAACCAAUGAACUCCGAAGCGGCUAUAUGUCGUAAAGCCUCAAGAAAAACAUACAAGCCGUCACUACUCCUCCCCCAGCGGGCGAUAUCCACGAAAAGUAUCCAUAAAUAUCUAAUAUCCAAAAAAACUGACUGAUAACGUUCCAAAGACCAUGUCCCCUGUAGGAAUUCAAUAGACCAGACCACCAAAUCUCCUAUCCAUAAAAGCAAAGUGCAAAUCAUGAAAGGACUGUUCCCACAAUGUCUACUGCACUCGCAGCCAGCGAGUACGGAAGUUAGCAUCAACACAAGAAAUACGCAAUCCAGUCCAAGCAUCAGAAAGAAAGUAAAUAUAGGAGUGACCUGUAUGAAGGAGGUGAGCCGAAUAUUUUAUUAGUCGGCGCCAUUGGGGUUGGCCUUCUUUACAGUGAAGUCACCGAGUGACUACGUACCAGAGAGGAGAAUGUAUAAAAAACGUGACGGCAGGAAUCUACGUACACGCAUUAUUGUAUGUGUCUACGCGGGAGCAAUGACAGACAUGCAUAUAUAUAUAUAUAUAUAUAUAUAUAGCUAAAUAAAUUUGAUUAGACAUCCUUGAAUAAACUAAUAUAAUUCGAUAUCGUUUAUUCCCAGAUCAAAAACAUAUAUAUAAAAGUUUGUUAUAUAUAUAUAGAAUUCCAUGAAGAUGACGUAUAUAUGGAUAAAACUCUACGUAUUCGACGGAUGUGGACCGAGAGGAGUAAUUCGUCUGUACGGGAUGUGCGUACAAGAUUAAAAUCCGUACAAUAACCUUUCCUUGGUGUACGCAGCUUAUUUUAGCCGAUUGUAAAACCUCGUGAAAAGCAAACCUAUGUGAAAUUUAGUUAUCGAUCUAGGAGAAGGUCACUCCUGUUCUGUCUAAUUUGAUACAGCGUCAUUUAUCACCUGUACACAUAUGUAUAGACAUGCGUACGAUACCACGUAUUAUCUUGUUUCGAAGAAGCUUUAUUAUUACUUUUUCUUCAUCGUACCAGUUUACAAUUUUUCUUCGGUGCCAGAGUCCCGCAUUACAAUUACACCUACUUUUGGUAUCGUGGCAGAGGUGAUAAGGAUCAAAGAGACUACUGCGCGUUAUCUUCGAAUUCUUCAUAAAAGUCAGCGAAGGCUUUACGUAUUCUAGUGGAUCGAGGCGAUAUCAUUUAGCAAUAUAAUUGUAAAAAUAUUUGAAAAAAUUUCUAUCGCUCUCCUAGGAUUUUCAUUAUCGGCCGAUGUUCAUUGACGUAGGUCGAAAAAAAAAGUAUUAUCUCGACUUAAAAUCUUAUAUUUACCAUAACGAUAUGACAUUGUUG
Molecule: long non-coding RNA, 2332 nt
Organism: Cephus cinctus (wheat stem sawfly)
Lineage: Eukaryota; Metazoa; Arthropoda; Insecta; Hymenoptera; Cephidae
Exons: 5
Source: RefSeq, a predicted model, not a curated record